AUACGUAGGGAGCGAGCGUUGUCCGGAAUUACUGGGUGUAAAGGGAGCGUAGGCGGGAGUGCAAGUCAGAUGUGAAAUACAUGGGCUCAACCCAUGGGCUGAAUUUGAAACUGCAUUUCUUGAGUGCAGUAGAGGCAAGUGGAAUUUCUAGUGUAGCGGUUAAAGGGGUAGAUAUUAGAAGGAACACCAGUGGCGAAGGCGGCUUGCUGGGCUGUUACUGACGCUGAGACACGAAAGCGUGGGGAGCAAAUAGGAUUAGAUACCCUAGUGGUCCACGCCGUAAACGAUGAGUACUAAGUGUCGGGUAACCGGUGCUGAAGUUAACACAUUAAGUUCUCCGCCUGAGUAGUACGGUCGCAAGGCUGAAACUCAAAUGAAUUGACGGGG
Molecule: ribosomal RNA, 387 nt
Filed under: uncultured bacterium
Lineage: Bacteria
Description: partial 16S ribosomal RNA
Rfam family: Bacterial small subunit ribosomal RNA
Source: RNAcentral